Non-coding RNA from Myotis brandtii (Brandt's bat), 149 nucleotides. The record is from Rfam. NCBI's taxonomy places the organism in Eukaryota, Metazoa, Chordata, Mammalia, Chiroptera, Vespertilionidae.
CCUCCUCUUCCUGGGGGAGAUCAGGUGUGUUGUCUCUGUCCCUAUAAUGUACUGAGGCAGAAGGACAGGGCACCAGCCCCCUUGGGGUCAUGUCUUUGGUGCUGGUGGCUUCCAGUCUGCAGGUUCUAUCCUCAAGCUCUGGGACACAG